GCUGGGCAUGGUGUCCAUUUCUAUAAUCCCUCCUACUAGUGAGACUGAGGCUGGAGGAUCACUUGAGUUCAGGAGUUUUGAGUUGUAGUAGGGCUACAGUUGGUGAGGUGUCCACACUAAGUCUGGCACCAAUAUGGUGAGCCUAUGGGAGCUGGGGGGUCACUAAGUUGCUUUAAGGAGGGAUGAACCAGCCCAUGUUGGAAAUGGAACAAGCUGAAACUUCUGUGCUGAUCAGCGAUGGGAUUGGGCCCAGGAGAGGCCAGUACGCUUCUAGACUAGGUGAGAUAGGGAGACCCAGUUUAA
Molecule: signal recognition particle RNA, 303 nt
Filed under: Phascolarctos cinereus (koala)
Lineage: Eukaryota; Metazoa; Chordata; Mammalia; Diprotodontia; Phascolarctidae
Description: Metazoan signal recognition particle RNA (ENSPCIG00000024741.2)
Rfam family: Metazoan signal recognition particle RNA
About the family: The signal recognition particle (SRP) is a universally conserved ribonucleoprotein. It is involved in the co-translational targeting of proteins to membranes. The eukaryotic SRP consists of a 300-nucleotide 7S RNA and six proteins: SRPs 72, 68, 54, 19, 14, and 9.
Source: RNAcentral